This 96-nucleotide transfer RNA is filed under the name Hyphomonas sp. RNAcentral's name for it is "tRNA-Sec". It matches the Rfam family "Selenocysteine transfer RNA". Lineage: Bacteria; Pseudomonadati; Pseudomonadota; Alphaproteobacteria; Hyphomonadales; Hyphomonadaceae. The record is from RNAcentral. RNAcentral also lists the same sequence under 2 other names.
GGAGGCGACUGGAGUCUGGUGGCUUCCCUGGUCUUCAAAACCAGCGACGCGUCGUAACCGGCGUGUGGUGGGUUCGAUUCCCAUCCGCCUCCGCCA